RNAcentral lists this ribosomal RNA (304 nucleotides) under uncultured Fusobacterium sp. RNAcentral describes it as "bacterial SSU rRNA". It matches the Rfam family "Bacterial small subunit ribosomal RNA", at positions 1212 to 1513 of the family's 1533-position model. Lineage: Bacteria; Fusobacteriati; Fusobacteriota; Fusobacteriia; Fusobacteriales; Fusobacteriaceae. The record is from RNAcentral.
GGCUACACACGUGCUACAAUGGGUAGUACAGAGAGUCGCGACCCUGUGAGGGUGAGCUAAUCUCAGAAAACUAUUCCUAGUUCGGAUUGUACUCUGCAACUCGAGUACAUGAAGUUGGAAUCGCUAGUAAUCGCAAAUCAGCUAUGUUGCNGGUGAAUACGUUCUCGGGUCUUGUACACACCGCCCGUCACACCACGAGAGUUGGUUGCACCUGAAGUAGCAGGCCUAACCGUAAGGAGGGAUGCUCCGAGGGUGUGAUUAGCGAUUGGGGUGAAGUCGUAACAAGGUAUCCGUACGGGAACGU